UAGGAAGGCUAUGCAUGAUGGGUACAAAAAUCGAUAUAGUUUCAUUAAGGAUGGAAGGACCAUUACUCUUGUGCCAUUAACACCGGCGCAAGUCUAUGAGGACCAAUUAAAAUUGAGAAGUGAGGAAGAGAGGAGAGCAAAAGAGUUAGAAAAAAUGAGAGCAAAUAGUGAGUUGGAGAAAAAGAGAGAAAAUGUUGAGAUAGCCAUUAGAGAGAAAAAGAGAGAGCAAUCACAAGAGAGAAAAGAAAGAGAGUGCCCCGAGAGAAGAGAGAAAACACGAGCGAAUUUCUUUGCAAAAGAGAGUGAUUUGAGGAGGGCGGUAGUUGAGAGAAAAGAGAUGAUCUUGUUCGUUUAUAAGGAAUCACUCCUCAAUUUUGAGGAAACUAACCCACCCCUCCCUAGUUUGGCUAAGUCUUUGUUGCAGGAAUUCGACGAUGUAUUUCCGGAGGAUGCACCAAGUGGAUUGCCGCCUAUUCGAGGCAUUGAACAUCAAAUUGACUUCAUACCCGGAGCUGUCAUUCCAAAUCGACCGGCUUAUCGAAGUAAUCCCGAGGAGACUAAGGAGCUUCAAAGGCAAGUGGAGGAGUUGAUGAGCAAAGGAUACGUGAGGGAAAGCAUGAGUCCUUGUGCGGUACCGAUUUUGCUUGUACCAAAAAAGGAUGGAACAUGGCGAAUGUGCGUGGAUUGUAGGGCUAUCAACAACAUAACGGUAAAGUAUCGUCACCCUAUACCUAGGUUAGAUGACAUGCUUGAUGAAUUACAUGGUUCUUGCAUAUUUUCUAAAAUUGAUUUAAAAAGCGGGUAUCAUCAAAUUCGUAUGCGG
Molecule: long non-coding RNA, 823 nt
Filed under: Olea europaea subsp. europaea
Lineage: Eukaryota; Viridiplantae; Streptophyta; Magnoliopsida; Lamiales; Oleaceae
Source: RNAcentral